UACGUAGGGGGCAAGCGUUGUCCGGAAUCAUUGGGCGUAAAGGGCGCGUAGGCGGCUAUAUAAGUCUGAUGUGAAAGUGCGGAGCUUAACUCCGUAAAGCAUUGGAAACUGUAUGGCUUGAGGACAGGAGAGGAAAGUGGAAUUCCUAGUGUAGCGGUGAAAUGCGUAGAUAUUAGGAGGAACACCAGUGGCGAAGGCGACUUUCUGGACUGUAACUGACGCUGAGGCGCGAAAGCGUGGGGAGCGAACAGGAUUAGAUACCCUGGUAGUCCACGCCGUAAACGAUGAAUGCUAGGUGUAGAGGGUAUCGACCCCUUCUGUGCCGCAGUUAACACAAUAAGCAUUCCGCCUGGGGAGUACGGCCGCAAGGUUGAA
RNAcentral lists this ribosomal RNA (375 nucleotides) under uncultured bacterium. RNAcentral's name for it is "bacterial SSU rRNA". It matches the Rfam family "Bacterial small subunit ribosomal RNA", at positions 524 to 898 of the family's 1533-position model. The record is from RNAcentral.